RNAcentral lists this unclassified non-coding RNA (339 nucleotides) under soil metagenome. Its description in RNAcentral is "partial contains 5.8S ribosomal RNA, internal transcribed spacer 2, and large subunit ribosomal RNA". The stretch from base 1 to 120 matches the Rfam family "5.8S ribosomal RNA", at positions 35 to 154 of the family's 154-position model. The record is from RNAcentral.
GAUGAAGAACGUAGCGAAAUGCGAUAAGUAAUGUGAAUUGCAGAAUUCAGUGAAUCAUCGAAUCUUUGAACGCAACUUGCGCCCUCUGGUAUUCCGGAGGGCAUGCCUGUUUGAGUGUCAUGUAGACUCAAUCCCUCGGGUUUCUGAGGAGGUUGGAUUUGGGUGCUUGCCUUCUGGCUCGCCUUAAAGGACUUAGCAGGAUAGCACUGUAGUCGACGUAAUAAGUCUCGUCGGUGAAAGUGUGAUGUAUGCUUACAGAUUGCCCUUGGGCACUUUUGACUCUGACCUCAAAUCAGGUAGGACUACCCGCUGAACUUAAGCAUAUCAAUAAGCGGAGGA